Non-coding RNA from Pelobates cultripes (western spadefoot toad), 243 nucleotides. The record is from the annotation of a GenBank genome assembly. NCBI's taxonomy places the organism in Eukaryota, Metazoa, Chordata, Amphibia, Anura, Pelobatidae.
CUAGCCCCCCCUUUAGACCUGGAAAACGGUUUUAAAAUUGCCUGACAUCCAGUUCUAAUCAAAGCUGUCCAACGUCAUCCCUGCACUCACGUGGUCUAAUCACAUGCUUAGUAGAGGAGCCUUUGAUUGGACUGUUAAUGCGCUCUGAGCCAGCGAGGGGAGGGUAAUUUUAAAUUGAGAAAAAUAAAACACCAACCCUAAAUAUUUAAUAGAGGGAGGUGGGAGGUACCGCACAGAGGGAGG